Molecule: long non-coding RNA, 821 nt
Organism: Centruroides sculpturatus (bark scorpion)
Lineage: Eukaryota; Metazoa; Arthropoda; Arachnida; Scorpiones; Buthidae
Exons: 3
Source: RefSeq, a predicted model, not a curated record
AAUAUGAGUAAAUUCAUUCGUGACAUAUUUUGCAAAUUUUACAUUUAAUAAAACUUCUUGCAAGUCAUAUUGUUAAAUACUUUUGCGAAUAUCAUUUCAAAUGUUAAGCAGAUUAGUGCAAAUAAAUAUCCAACACACAUAAAUAACAAUGGACUUUUAAUAUCUUCGAUUGAUAAAGGUUGAAAUUGCGAUUGCGAUGAUGACAGUAACGAUUCUCUAGGUCGUGAAAGUAAUAAUUUUUCUAUAAUUCCAGCUUCAAACAAACGAAUUACUCUAUUAAAAAUUUACUGUUUUUAAGUAAAGGAAAAUAUUAAUUAAAUUAUUAAUAUAAACAAAUAUAGAAAUUUAUCUUACAUGUUGUUUAUAUUCUUCUUAAAUAUAAAUUUUUUUCUAAUUGGGAUAGCAACCAUCACGGUGCGAAAAUAGUCUUUUGAAAUGACAUAUUUAUGCAUUUCUUCAUUAUUGAUUAAGUGAUGAAUUACGAAUGUAUUCAUUAGACUUCCACAUCUGGAAAGAUUAAUUAAAUCAGCAUAUGAAACUCAUAAUAAACUCUUAACAUGUGAGGUGAAAAAAACUAAUGCAACUAGUAAGACCGAGGAAAACUCCACGAAAAAGUUGGAACCAAAAUGCGAGAAAUAUAACAUAUGAAAAUUGAACUUGAUACUGAGCAAUUUUUUGAACCCCGGUGAAUGGUCGGAUUAGAAAGACAUAACAAUUUCUGUUUAUUAGUCCAUAAACUUUUGUACAUGGUUAGAUAAAUAACAGAUUUAGCCAACUGAUAUUGCUGAAUUAAUCUGAAUUAAUAAUAAUUUAAUAAAAUA